GAAACCUUAACACUUCAAAAUUCAUAGAGGAAAUAUGGCUUCAGGAAACAAAGUUGGUGUAAUAUAUCUUCUCAUUUUGUCUAGUGCAGUUCUACUAAGUGUCAAUCCAGCAACUGUAAGCGCAAGAACAAUAUGCCCACUUUAUCCAUGCAUGGCGAGUAUGAGUGGGUAUAUGAUUUGCCCAUCUUCGGGCAGUACGCAACUUAAUCCGCCCUGCAAUUGCUGCUAUGCUCCGAAGGGCUGCACUAUUUAUCAUGCUUCUGGAACUUCAAUCUGUACUGCCACUUGAAGGGAUCGAUAGACAUGGAUGUUAAACAUGUUUGCUAGUACUCGCAUUUGGUUUGCAAAAUAAAGUUGUCUGUGUUGUUACAUAGAGACAAUGAAUUGUAUUGCCUACAUUGCAUUUGUACCUUUACAAUAUCAUGUCUUUUCAUAUAUAGACUCUUUUGUACUCUAUCACUAUGUGUGCGAUCACUUAUAUUCAAUGAGUGUUCUUUUUGUUUA
Molecule: long non-coding RNA, 504 nt
Organism: Alnus glutinosa
Lineage: Eukaryota; Viridiplantae; Streptophyta; Magnoliopsida; Fagales; Betulaceae
Exons: 2
Source: RefSeq, a predicted model, not a curated record